CUGCUUAACAGUGGGUGUGAAUACCUGGCACUCAUUUACCAUGAAAGAAGAGUUGCACCGGACAACUCACGCCUUUCCCACUCUACGAAAAAGGUUCAUCUGCUAAUGUCAGUUGGCUGCAUCCACAGGCAAUAACAAAAGCCUCCAUCUCAGUCGUUGGCCACCCAGCUGGCCUCCUGAUUGGCUUCACCUCAGGAAAUUGUCCUCCUGACUUACCAGUCUUUCUGUUUGUUUGGACUUGGACUCAUUGUUCUAUUUUUUGGUUCUGUUCUACGUUCCAUCUGUGGUCUGUCCCCACAUUAUCCUGUGUGUGUAUAUUUUGUCUCAUCUUUCCCUUGCCCUUUGUCGCAUUGUCCCUCUAGGUUGCGUCGCUCUUGCCCUGUUCUCUGUGAGUUCCAGGUUCCCUUGUGUGAACCUAGUUCAUAAGUUCCUACUUCCUGCCUUGUCCAGAUUAUUUUGUAAUAUGUAUUUUGGACUUGGCUAAAUUAUAUAUGCAC
Long non-coding RNA from Astatotilapia calliptera (eastern happy), 497 nucleotides. NCBI's taxonomy places the organism in Eukaryota, Metazoa, Chordata, Actinopteri, Cichliformes, Cichlidae. The record is from Ensembl.